UCUGGUUGAUCCUGCCAGUAGUUAUAUGCUUGUCUCAAAGAUUAAGCCAUGCAUGUCUAAGUACACACGAAUUAAAAGUGAAACCGCAAAAGGCUCAUUAUAUCAGUUAUGGUUCCUUAGAUCGUUAACAGUUACUUGGAUAACUGUGGUAAUUCUAGAGCUAAUACAUGCAAUUAAAACACGGACCUUAUGGGACGUGUGCUUUUAUUAGGCUAAAACCAAGCGAUCGCAAGAUCGUUACAUUGGUUGAACUCUAGAUAACAUGCAGAUCGUAUGGUCUUGUACCGACGACAGAUCUUUCAAAUGUCUGCCCUAUCAACUUUUGAUGGUAGUAUCUAGGACUACCAUGGUUGCAACGGGUAACGGGGAAUCAGGGUUCGAUUCCGGAGAGGGAGCCUGAGAAACGGCUACCACAACUAAGGAAGGCAGCAGGCGCGUAAAUUACCCACUCCCAGCUCGGGGAGGUAGUGACGAAAAAUAACAAUACAGGACUCAUAUCCGAGGCCCUGUAAUUGGAAUGAGUACACUUUAAAUCCUUUAACAAGGACCAAUUGGAGGGCAAGUCUGGUGCCAGCAGCCGCGGUAAUUCCAGCUCCAAUAGCGUAUAUUAAAGUUGUUGCGGUUAAAACGUUCGUAGUUGAACUUGUGCUUCAUACGGGUAGUACAACUUACAAUUGUGGUUAGUACUAUACCUUUAUGUAUGUAAGCGUAUUACCGGUGGAGUUCUUAUAUAUAAUUAAGUACUUGUAUUUUUUUAUAUAUUCCUCCUAUUUAAAAACCUGCAUUAGUGCUCUUCAUCGAGUGUUAUUGUGGGCCGGUACAAUUACUUUGAACAAAUUAGAGUGCUUAAAGCAGGCUUCAAUAGGCCUGAAUAUUCUGUGCAUGGGAUAAUGAAAUAAGACCUCUGUUCUGCUUUCAUUGGUUUUCAGAUCAAGAGGUAAUGAUUAAUAGAAGCAGUUUGGGGGCAUUAGUAUUACGACGCGAGAGGUGAAAUUCUUGGACCGUCGUAAGACUAACUUAAGUGAAAGCAUUUGCCAAAAUGUUUUCAUUAAUCAAGAACGAAAGUUAGAGGUUCGAAGGCGAUCAGAUACCGCCCUAGUUCUAACCAUAAACGAUGCCAGCUAGCAAUUGGGUGUAGCUACUUUUAUGGCUCUCUCAGUCGCUUCCCGGGAAACCAAAGCUUUUGGGCUCCGGGGGAAGUAUGGUUGCAAAGCUGAAACUUAAAGGAAUUGACGGAAGGGCACCACCAGGAGUGGAGCCUGCGGCUUAAUUUGACUCAACACAGGAAAACUUACCAGGUCCGCACCUAAGUGUGUAAGACAGAUUGAUAGCUCUUUCUCGAAUCUAUGGGUGGUGGUGCAUGGCCGUUCUUAGGAAACGCAUUAUCUCUCAUUGUUGUAUAUAUUUGUGUGAGAACAACGAAGAAAAAUAUAUAUUUUUUUGUCCUUUUUGAAUCAAAUAAUACUGAGGAAUGUCUAGCAUAAAAAAAUAAUUAAAGUUUUUUCAUCCAGAAUUGCCUCUUAUUAAUGUUUCGAAAGGAAAUUUUGUUGUAAAUAUAAAUAUUUAAUAUUCUUCUUGAUAUUCGUUAUAAAAUACGAAUAUUAUAAUGAUUUCAUUAUGAGAACGCUCUAUAUAUAAUAAUAUAGUGUAAUUAUCAUUAUAAAUUUUAAUAUACGUAUAUACAACCUCAACUCAUAUGGGACUACCCCCUGAAUUUAAGCAUAUUAAUUAGGGGAGGAAAAGAAACUAACCAGGAUUUUCUUAGUAGCGGCGAGCGAAAAGAAAUCAG
RNAcentral lists this ribosomal RNA (1789 nucleotides) under Drosophila persimilis. Its description in RNAcentral is "SSU rRNA". It matches the Rfam family "Eukaryotic small subunit ribosomal RNA", at positions 1 to 1446 of the family's 1831-position model. Lineage: Eukaryota; Metazoa; Arthropoda; Insecta; Diptera; Drosophilidae. The record is from RNAcentral.